Long non-coding RNA from Magnolia sinica, 692 nucleotides. RefSeq lists it as uncharacterized. The record is from RefSeq and is a predicted model, not a curated record. The transcript has 3 exons. NCBI's taxonomy places the organism in Eukaryota, Viridiplantae, Streptophyta, Magnoliopsida, Magnoliales, Magnoliaceae.
AGUUUUUCUGUUUCUAUUUCCAACACCAUGCUUCUGUGUCUUAUAUUAGUUACGUCCACAGAGAUGUGAAGCCUAAAAAUUUUCUACAGGAUCAGAGAACUUGCUCAGAUACCAUGUUGACUGCAGACAAUUUUAAGUGAUAGAAUGCAAGAUAUGAUAUUUAUAAACCUCUAGUACCAAAUGCAGGAAGAAUCUAGAAUAGCUAGGAGGAUUGGAGAGAUCCAGAAAGCAAUAUAGUUGCAAGUUUGCCAUCACAAAAGAAUUACAGGAAUGCCAUUACAAAUCAUCCCUCAACAAGUACAGCUUUGUCUGUUAAUAUGCAUGGGCCAUCUAACUGGAGUAAAAAGCGAAUCCAUUUUCACGACUUCAUGUUGGGUGUCCAUAGUCGCCUUCAAUCAAUCAGAAUGCAUCAUUAACAUGAGAGAUGCAUCAGAGUAGACUUCCUUUUUCUCUAUCCAGGGUCCGUGUACACUGGAGUAGACUUCUACAAGAAGUUGUGUCGAGUAUCCAUUAUUCAAAGGUGAGCUUUUAUGCAAGUAUUGAAUUUGGAUUUUUGGCAUUAAAAACUAAUCGAGUAUUUUGAGAUAAAUAUGAGAUUUUGUUUCAAAUAGGAAUGCAGUCACUUGAUAUCAAUAUUCAGCCCCUUGACUUUAUAAUGACAUAUUGAAAUAUGAAUAUAUGUGACUAUUUCA